UACGAAGGGGGCUAGCGUUGCUCGGAAUCACUGGGCGUAAAGCGCACGUAGGCGGAUUUUUAAGUCGGGGGUGAAAUCCUGGAGCUCAACUCCAGAACUGCCUUUGAUACUGGGAAUCUCGAGUCCGGGAGAGGUGAGUGGAACUGCGAGUGUAGAGGUGAAAUUCGUAGAUAUUCGCAAGAACACCAGUGGCGAAGGCGGCUCACUGGCCCGGUACUGACGCUGAGGUGCGAAAGCGUGGGGAGCAAACAGG
RNAcentral lists this ribosomal RNA (253 nucleotides) under uncultured bacterium. RNAcentral's name for it is "partial 16S ribosomal RNA". It matches the Rfam family "Bacterial small subunit ribosomal RNA", at positions 524 to 776 of the family's 1533-position model. The record is from RNAcentral.